GAGUUUGAUCGUGGCUCAGGAUGAACGCUGGCGGCGUGCCUAACACAUGCAAGUCGAACGAAGCACUUAUGACGAUUCCUUCGGGAUGAAGCGUUUGUGACUUAGUGGCGGACGGGUGAGUAACGCGUGGGUAACCUGCCUUAUACAGGGGGAUAACAGUUAGAAAUGACUGCUAAUACCGCAUAAGCGCACAGUCUCGCAUGGGACAGUGUGAAAAACUAGGUGGUAUAAGAUGGACCCCGCGUCUGAUUAGCUAGUUGGUGGGUAAAGGCCUACCAAGGCGACGAUCAGUAGCCGACCUGAGAGGGUGAUCGGCCACAU
This 321-nucleotide ribosomal RNA is filed under the name uncultured bacterium. RNAcentral's name for it is "bacterial SSU rRNA". It matches the Rfam family "Bacterial small subunit ribosomal RNA", at positions 9 to 313 of the family's 1533-position model. The record is from RNAcentral.